This 460-nucleotide ribosomal RNA is filed under the name uncultured bacterium. RNAcentral describes it as "partial 16S ribosomal RNA". It matches the Rfam family "Bacterial small subunit ribosomal RNA", at positions 338 to 795 of the family's 1533-position model. The record is from RNAcentral.
CCUACGGGGUGCUGUAGUGAGGAAUAUUGGUCAAUGGACGGAAGUCUGAACCAGCCAUGCCGCGUGCAGGAAGACGGUUCUAUGAGUCGUAAACUGCUUUUGUACAAGGGUAAACCUGAAUACGUGUAUUCAGCUGAAAGUACUGUAUGAAUAAGGAUCGGCUAACUCCGUGCCAGCAGCCGCGGUAAUACGGAGGAUCCAAGCGUUAUCCGGAUUUAUUGGGUUUAAAGGGUGCGUAGGCGGAUUGAUAAGUUAGAGGUGAAAUGUCCGGGCUUAACUCGGGAACUGCCUCUAAUACUGUUGGGCUAGAGAAUAGAUGCGGUAGGCGGAAUGUAUGGUGUAGCGGUGAAAUGCUUAGAGAUCAUACAGAACACCGAUUGCGAAGGCAGCUUACCAAUCUAUAUCUGACGUUGAGGCACGAAAGCGUGGGGAGCAAACAGGAUUAGAUACCCUUGUAGUC